CCUACGGGUGGCAGCAGUGAGGAAUAUUGGUCAAUGGACGAGAGUCUGAACCAGCCAAGUAGCGUGAAGGAUGACUGCCCUAUGGGUUGUAAACUUCUUUUAUAUGGGAAUAAAAUGUUCCACGUGUGGGAUUUUGUAUGUACCAUAUGAAUAAGGAUCGGCUAACUCCGUGCCAGCAGCCGCGGUAAUACGGAGGAUCCGAGCGUUAUCCGGAUUUAUUGGGUUUAAAGGGAGCGUAGGUGGAUUGUUAAGUCAGUUGUGAAAGUUUGCGGCUCAACCGUAAAAUUGCAGUUGAUACUGGCAGUCUUGAGUACAGUAGAGGUGGGCGGAAUUCGUGGUGUAGCGGUGAAAUGCUUAGAGAUCACGAAGAACUCCGAUUGCGAAGGCAGUUCACUGGACUGCAACUGACACUGAGGCUCGAAAGUGUGGGUAUCAAACAGGAUUAGAUACCCGUGUAGUC
This 460-nucleotide ribosomal RNA is filed under the name uncultured bacterium. Its description in RNAcentral is "partial 16S ribosomal RNA". It matches the Rfam family "Bacterial small subunit ribosomal RNA", at positions 338 to 795 of the family's 1533-position model. The record is from RNAcentral.